AAUAGCCUAUGGGCUGAACCAGCAACUUGGAAGAAUGUAGAACUAAAGUAUAAAAUUCUAUAUAUGGACUGAUAAUGACAAUUCAUAUAUAUUAGUAUUGACCAAAUUACGUGCCAGCAGUCGCGGUAACACGUAAAAUACAAGUGUUAUUCAUCUUUAAUAGGUUUAAAGGGUACCUAGACGGAAAAUCAAGCCUAAAUAAUAAGGGACUAGUAUUCUAGAGUUUUAUGGAUGAAUGUUGAACUAUUGGAGUAAAGUCAACAUUUGAUGAUACCAAUGAUACGGACAACUGUGAAGACGACAUUCCAUGUAAAAACUGACGUUGAGGGACGAAGCCUUGGGGAGCGAUAAGGAUUAGAUACCCUAGUAGUCCAAGGAGAAAAUUAUGAGUGUCAUAGGCUAGAAUAUUCUAGUUUAUAAAUGAAAGUGUAAGCACUCCACCUCAUGAGUAAAGCGGCAACGCCGAAAUUGAAAUCAUUAGACCGUGUCUGAAACCAGUAGUGAAGUAUGUUAUUUAAUUCGAUAACCCGCGAAUAAUCUUACCACGUUUUGAAUAUAUUAUUUAUUUAUUUACAAGCGCUGCACGGCUGUCUUCAGUUAAUGUCGUGAGAUUUUGGUUAGUUCCUUUAAUUAACGAAAGCCCUUGCAUUAUUUAAGUACAUUAAUGCAUUUCGCCGUUAUAUUGGUAUGAAUAAUAGGGAUCAAGACAAGUCAUCAUGGCCUUAAUAACG
This 731-nucleotide ribosomal RNA is filed under the name Cyphellophora laciniata. RNAcentral's name for it is "SSU rRNA". It matches the Rfam family "Bacterial small subunit ribosomal RNA", at positions 370 to 1209 of the family's 1533-position model. The record is from RNAcentral. Lineage: Eukaryota; Fungi; Ascomycota; Eurotiomycetes; Chaetothyriales; Cyphellophoraceae.